UAUAACCAGGGGCUGCCAGGGCCUCUGUGAAGCUGGGUCUGCCAGAAGCGGAGGAGGAGGCGGCGGCCCCUGCCCCUCUAAGCGAGGCCGCCCCCCACCCAUGGACACCAAGACACAGAGCCUUCCCAACACCCACGCCCAGCCCCACAGCAACUCUCGGCCCCAAAGCCACGCCUGCCACCGCUGCAGCUGCAGCCAGCGCUGCCAGAGCCGCAGCCGCAGCCGCAGCCGCAGCCGCAGCGCCAGCCGGCGCCCGAGGAGCCACUGCAGCCCCGCUGGCCGCCAGGGCCAGAGCCCAGGCCCCAGCCCUCCUCUGAGGCGCCACAGACACACCAUGCACUCCCACCAGUGUCCCUCGCGGUCCAUCACCCACUCUUGCAGCCACUCCAAGAACAGAAAGAACUUGGAGGGAAAGGUGAUCAAGAGGAAGCAGGUCAAGAGGAGCAAGCAGGUGUACAAAAGAAAGAGGCAGAGCUCAGGUACCUGUCAAGCCGGUGGCCUUUCACAGGACUCCCCCAGAGAAGGGCGGUGCAGCCCAGCGGGGCUGUAGAGGCAGUGAGGUGAAGGCUGCCUCCGCCAAGUCAGAGCACAGAGGACGCACAGGACAGAAGUACAACUGAGAUGGCACCCCAUGGCUUGUUCCUGUGUCUGUUUCAUCAAGAUAAGAAACGCCAUCACACGUGGAACAUUAGAAGGAAGAAGUCAACUUUGCAGGAACAUGUUACUACAGUGGUUACUGCAGUGAUUUCUAUGCAACAUUGAGUAAAGCUUGUACACUGGAUGACUUA
RNA transcript from Bubalus bubalis (water buffalo), 788 nucleotides. It is a transcript of the gene named transition protein 2, with no coding region annotated. Lineage: Eukaryota; Metazoa; Chordata; Mammalia; Artiodactyla; Bovidae. The transcript is spliced from 2 exons. The record is from RefSeq and is a predicted model, not a curated record.